RNAcentral lists this ribosomal RNA (250 nucleotides) under uncultured bacterium. RNAcentral's name for it is "partial 16S ribosomal RNA". It matches the Rfam family "Bacterial small subunit ribosomal RNA", at positions 524 to 773 of the family's 1533-position model. The record is from RNAcentral.
UACGUAGGGUGCGAGCGUUAUCCGGAAUUACUGGGCGUAAAGAGUGCGUAGGUGGUCUUUUAAGUUAGAUGUUAAAUCUACAGGCUUAACUUGUAGGCUGCAUCUAAUACUGGGAGACUUGAGAGUAGAAGAGGCAAACGGAAUUCACGGUGGAGCGGUAAAAUGCGUAGAUAUCGUGAAGAACACCAAUGGCGAAGGCAGUUUGCUGGGCUAUUUCUGACACUGAGGCACGAAAGCGUGGGGAGCGAUC